AUGAGGGCCCUGGGAUGGAAUUGCCAAGGUAUGGGAAGGAAUCUUGGCAGUGAGAAGAUGGCCUUUCUUGCCAGGAUGAUCCAUUCUGCGAAACCUCAGAUAAUUUUUGUUUCUGAAAUUAAAUCGACAAAGGUAAAAUCUUCCGAUCUAUCUGCCAGAUUCAACAUGAAUGACGCUUUAGUGGUUCCCUCUCGAUGUCGCUCGGGUGGGCUUUGGCUAAUGUGGAAUGAUGAUCUGCAAGUUCAUGUUCAUAGUGCUAGCUUCCAUGUUAUCUUAGCUACUGCUGUACAUAGUACUAGCAAUCUGAAGUUUGGCUUAGUGUGUAUCUAUGGUGAUCAGUAUCAUCGUCAAACUUGUCAAAUCUGGAGUGAGGUGGUUGCUUUUGCGUAUAAUAACUCCAGUUUACCCAUGCUAUGUAUAGGGGAUAUGAAUGAGCUUUUGUAUGAUAUGGAUACAAACUCCCUUAAUAUAAAUCGCUCUCGCAUGUAUGGUUUUCGUGCUUUAGUGAAACAAUGCGGUCUCUUUGAUUUGGGUUUCAGUGGUCCAGCAUACACUUGGACAAAUAAAAGAUUUGCCUCUAAACCCACUUUUGAAAGAUUGGACAGAUGCUUGGUAAAUGCUGAAUGGUGUGCUGCUAAUCCUAUUUCUAAUGUUUACAACAUGCCUAUUAUCCACAAUCUGAGUGAUCAUGCUGCAAUCUUGCUGUCCACAGAAGGUCGCACUUGUAAUAUAAAAUGCUCUUUUAAGUUUAAAAAUUGGUGGCUUAAAGAACAAGAUUUCUUAAACCAUGCAAGAUCAGUUUGGCUUUCUUCAAAAAAUAAAUCCUUCUCAAAUAGAAUUAACCAUCUUGCAGGCUCUCUGAAGAUAUGGUGUAAGAAAAAGAAGCCACUGAAUCAGGAACUAAAUAAUUUAGAGGAGUAG
RNAcentral lists this ribosomal RNA (921 nucleotides) under Triticum aestivum (bread wheat). Its description in RNAcentral is "partial small subunit ribosomal RNA". The record is from RNAcentral. Lineage: Eukaryota; Viridiplantae; Streptophyta; Magnoliopsida; Poales; Poaceae.